This 1440-nucleotide ribosomal RNA is filed under the name uncultured bacterium. RNAcentral describes it as "bacterial SSU rRNA". It matches the Rfam family "Bacterial small subunit ribosomal RNA". The record is from RNAcentral.
GAGUUUGAUCAUGGCUCAGGAUGAACGCUGGCGGCGUGCCUAAUACAUGCAAGUCGAACGGAGGGUCGCAAGACCCUGAGUGGCGAACGGGUGAGUAACGCGUUGGUACCUGCCCCAAAGCGGGGGAUAACAGGCCGAAAGGCUUGCUAAUACCCCAUGUGCUCCGCAAGGAGGAAAGGUGAAAAUCACUUUGGGAGGGGCCUGCGUCCCAUCAGCUAGUUGGUAGGGUAACGGCUUACCAAGGCGAUGACGGGUAGGGGACCUGAGAGGGUGGCCCCCCACAAUGGAACUGAAACACGGUCCAUACACCUACGGGUGGCAGCAGUAGGGAAUAUUGGUAAUGGACGCAAGUCUGAACCAGCAACGCCGCGUGUGCGAUGACGGCCUUCGGGUUGUAAAGCACUUUUGAUCGGGACGCGCCCAGCACGGUACCGGUCGAAGAAGCCUCGGCUAACUACGUGCCAGCAGCCGCGGUAAAACGUAGGAGGCGAGCGUUAUCCGGAUUUACUGGGUGUAAAGCGCGUGCAGGCGGCUCGGUAAGUUGGAUGUGAAAGCUCCUGGCUCAACUGGGAGAGGUCGUUCAAGACUGUCGGGCUUGAGGAUGGUAGGGGAAGGUGGAAUUCCGGGUGUAGUGGUGAAAUGCGUAGAUAUCCGGAGGAACACCAGUGGCGAAAGCGGCCUUCUGGACCAUUUCUGACGCUCAGACGCGAAAGCUAGGGUAGCAAACGGGAUUAGAGACCCCGGUAGUCCUAGCCGUAAACGAUGUGAACUUGGCGCCUGGCGGGUAAAACCGCUGGGUGCCGCAGCCAACGCGCUAAGUUCACCACCUGGGGACUACGGCCGCAAGGUUAAAACUCAAAGGAAUUGACGGGGGCCCGCACAAGCAGCGGAGCGUGUGGUUUAAUUCGAUGCUACACGAAGAACCUUACCAGGGCUUGACAUGGACGUGGUAGCGAAGCGAAAGCGGAGCGACCCUUCGGGGAGCGUUCACAGGUGCUGCAUGGCUGUCGUCAGCUCGUGUCGUGAGAUGUUCGGUUAAGUCCGGUAACGAGCGCAACCCCUGCUGGAUGUUACAAGUGUCAUCCAGGACUGCCGGUUUAGUGCCGGAGGAAGGCGGGGAUGACGUCAAGUCAGCAUGGCCUUUAUAUCCGGGGCUACACACACGCUACAAUGGCCAGUACAAUGGGUCGCAAAGCCGCAAGGUGGAGCCAAUCCCCAAAGCUGGCCUCAGUUCAGAUUGCAGGCUGCAACUCGCCUGCAUGAAGUCGGAGUUGCUAGUAACCGCGCGUCAGCUAUAGUGCGGUGAAUACGUUCCCGGGCCUUGCGCACACCGCCCGUCACGUCAUGGGAGCUGGCAACACCUGAAGCCGGUAUCCGAACCGUCAGGACGGAGCCGUCGAAGGUGGGGCUGGUGACUGGGACGAAGUCGUAACAAGGUAG